Non-coding RNA from Cinara cedri, 849 nucleotides. Lineage: Eukaryota; Metazoa; Arthropoda; Insecta; Hemiptera; Aphididae. The record is from the annotation of a GenBank genome assembly.
CACUCAAUGAAAAGCUGAUAACAAAAUGUGGCUUCAGUAAGUAAAGUUGCUGACCCCUGCUCUAUACGAAUAAAAAUAAUUCAUAAGAGAACUUGAAAACCUCCUCUACCCCUCAAUUGGAGCACAGCCUACAUUUUAUAUAGGUAUUAAUCACUAUUUUAAGAUAAUAUGAGCAGAAUAUAAAAUUAAUAAACCAAUAAUGAAGAAAACAAGGAUAUGAGAUUAGGAAAAUGUAUUUAAUAUUGUUUAUAAUACAAACAUAAAAUAUAGUAGAUAAACAUAAUAUAUAGCGGAUAAACAUCUAAAUAUACAGCCUUGAACAAAACUUAAGACUAAAGACCUAAAACCAGUCAUACACUAAGCAUUUUGAAUGGUAAUGAUUGAUAAAAUUCAAAUCUGUUUAAAAGUCAUCAGUUUGAAAUUUGAAUGUCAAUUGUCAUUCAUACACCAUCACUUAUGAUUGCCAAUCAUAAUGUGUAGUGUAUGCUAAAUAUUAUAAGGUCUAUGGGUCAAAAUAUAUAUUAUAAACAAAUGCUAUUUUUACAAUUCUUAAAUGGAAAAAAAAGUGUGAACUGCUAAACUAUGACAAUCAUGAUUAUAUUUAAUUGUUUUAAGAAUUUUGAGUGACCUAAUGGCUUUGAUUUUUCAUUGAUAAUUUUAACAUAAUUGUAUAUAUUCUGAAAUUAAAUUUGAAGUGUAAAUUAAAAAUUAUACAAAAAGUAUUUCUAAGUUUUAUAAAUUAUGGUGUAAAGCACUGUUUAUAAUAUUCAUACACAAAUAUGAACUAUGAUAGAUAAGUAAAUUACUUUAAUAUAUAUAAAUUAAAAAAAACAAACAAAUGUUUAAACA